This 546-nucleotide ribosomal RNA is filed under the name uncultured bacterium. RNAcentral describes it as "bacterial SSU rRNA". It matches the Rfam family "Bacterial small subunit ribosomal RNA", at positions 777 to 1328 of the family's 1533-position model. The record is from RNAcentral.
AAUAGAUACCCUGGUAGUCCACGCCCUAAACGAUGUCUACUAGUUGUCGGGUUUUAAUUAACUUGGUAACGCAGCUAACGCGUGAAGUAGACCGCCUGGGGAGUACGGUCGCAAGAUUAAAACUCAAAGGAAUUGACGGGGACCCGCACAAGCGGUGGAUGAUGUGGAUUAAUUCGAUGCAACGCGAAAAACCUUACCUACCCUUGACAUGGAAGGAAUCCUGAAAAGAUUUGGGAGUGCCCGAAAGGGAACCUUCACACAGGUGCUGCAUGGCUGUCGUCAGCUCGUGUCGUGAGAUGUUGGGUUAAGUCCCGCAACGAGCGCAACCCUUGUCAUUAGUUGCUACGCAAGAGCACUCUAAUGAGACUGCCGGUGACAAACCGGAGGAAGGUGGGGAUGACGUCAAGUCCUCAUGGCCCUUAUGGGUAGGGCUUCACACGUCAUACAAUGGUACAUACAGAGGGCCGCCAACCCGCGAGGGGGAGCUAAUCCCAGAAAGUGUAUCGUAGUCCGGAUUGUAGUCUGCAACUCGACUACAUGAAGUUG